CCUGUCUCAAAAAGAAAAGUUUUAAAAUUUUUUUUAAAAGAGUAAUUGUGAAAAAUAAAAAUAAAAAUAAACUGUAAUUGUGAAAUAGUACCAUAACAAACUUGUACUUCCUUUUACUAAAUGGCAAACAUUAAAAAAAAAAAAAAACUUCUGUGUAUAAAAUCAUUUUCUUUGGGGCGUCCCCUCCCCCUUUUUUGGUAUUAUGUUUUGCAUUUUAAAAUCACUUCUCCCUGUCGUUUGUUACACAAGUACAAAUGGCUCAAAAGGCUUGAAUACACAGAGCCUGCACAUCUCAGGAAGAUACAGUAUAACCAAAUGGGGGGUUCACCCAGGAACUCUGACUUCUUCAUGAUAUAGUCAGUGAGAAAUAGAAAUUUAGCUUUGGAAGUGAGAAUCCUGGAGUUUAUACCACCUUGAUUAAAAUAAUUUUGGAAAAUUAAAAAAUAGAAAUCCAGCAGUUGGAAUAACCUCUGUUUAGAUUGUUUCUGUAAUAAGUACAAUAUCAAUAACAGACUAGUUUCCAUGUUUAGUACUCUUUAUUAAUGACUUCUUAAGUGAAUUAGUGCUCUUCUUCAGAACUUGUACAGUAGGUUGUCUUUUCUCCAUCUGGGAGCGUACCCAUGUGCUGAUCUUAGAAGCUUUCUGUGACGAGAUUCCCCCUUACCUGUGUUCUCUGUAGUUAUGUUUUCAUUUUUAUCCCUAUCUUCUUUUCCUAGAUGGGACUAGAUGGGACUUCUUUAAGUCAUACAGUCCAGGCUGGAAGACAGCAGCUGUUGGAAACUUUCUUUUCAGUCAUGUCAUUGUCAGUUUUUAAUGCUACUCUGUUUUUUCUUCUGCAUUUUUUUAUCACAGUAAGCUUUUCUAAAAACCUUCCUGUUGAGUGCCAUUUUAUACUGUACAAUGCGAUAUUUUUAUCUGUUUCUCAUGUUUUUUAAAUAAAAGCUGGUUGGAGCUAGUGGUAGAAGGAAGUUCAACAAUCUAUAACUCAACUAGUUUUUUUUAAAUUAAAGCUAUACUUAAUUUUGAGUUAGUUAAAAAUCAUUUCAAGUAUUUUCUUUUUAUUAAUGUGAAACUAAAGAAUAUAACCUUUAAAUAAAAUUAAGCCUUAGAGCAAAUAAAAUCAUUCAGAGAAAUCAUUCAGAGAACAUUAAAAUUUUACUUUUAAAAUUUAAUAUAUCAUCACAAAGUGUAUGUAGCACUUGUACAAGGUGAAUUGUUGACGAAAUGGAGUGAUUCUUUUUAAGUCACACGAGUCUGAAUGCCUCCACUGUAUUAAAAAGUGAUUAAAGGAUUGUGAACAGGAGCAGAACAGUAGCAGAACAACCAGGGGACAAUCUUAAACCCUUUUUGCCUUAGGAGACCUCCUGCAUGUUUUCAUGAGCAGAGGGUUUAAUCAGGAGCAACAGUGGUUCACUGUUCACUAUGUGGCUCAGUCUGGGUGGGUUAUGCAAGUGGCCAUCUCAGAAGAUUUGUAAAAAUAGCUUACAUAAAGAAAUAUAAAUUACAUAGUGAAAUCAUUUAUUGUAGUUGCAUUCAUGAGAUAGACAGUCAUAAAUACAACCUCAUAGAUUAGUGAGCAACAAACCUUGGCAAGUGAGAGAGAAUAUAUUAUUCUUCACUUUCUCUGUAAAGCUACAUGGGGGAAUCGCAUACACCCCACUGGCAGGAACAGCAGCAGGUCCAGCUUUGAAGUUACUUCCCUGCUUUAACAGCUGAGCUGGGAAGAGAUGGAAGCCCUGCAGCCACACUUCAAAGUGACCCAGCUCAUAGCCUGCUUCUGCCUAUCGUGAUCCUGUGGAACUGUUUUCUUUGGAAGCAGAAUGGAACAACAGAUGAAGUAGUGUAUCCAGUAUCCUCCUGUUCUCUAUCAAAACCUGCUUCCAAGAAGGAAUGGAAAAUACUUCACAAAAAUACUCCACAAAAGUAUGACUGAUAACAAAGUGUUGCUUCUACAGGGUGUUCGGUCUGCAUUUUAACAGAGACAAACUUCAAUUGGAAGGACAUGAUGUUUUCAGAUACUACAAAGCUGUGGUAUUCUAAGGGAUAAGAAAACGUUUAUGACCUCUGAAGUGAGAUCAUGUGAGCAAUGAACUAAACUCCACUUACACAUCAUCUUUGGCUACUAUUUCCAAUUCUUCUCUCCUUGAUUGUCUUAGUUUAAGAAAUAGCAAUCAUAAUGUCAUUUCUUCCCCACCAAACUACUAAAUGUAUUGCAACUCCUAAAAAAA
Molecule: long non-coding RNA, 2228 nt
Organism: Chinchilla lanigera (long-tailed chinchilla)
Lineage: Eukaryota; Metazoa; Chordata; Mammalia; Rodentia; Chinchillidae
Exons: 2
Source: RefSeq, a predicted model, not a curated record